RNAcentral lists this long non-coding RNA (423 nucleotides) under Gossypium raimondii (Peruvian cotton). RNAcentral's name for it is "long non-coding RNA (GRAI_LNC001204)". The record is from RNAcentral. Lineage: Eukaryota; Viridiplantae; Streptophyta; Magnoliopsida; Malvales; Malvaceae.
UUUUAUCUUCGGUGAACUCAUAUUAGAAUGAGCUUAGUGGCUCAAGUGGUAAGGUGUUAGCUUACCUGAAGGUCUCGUGUUCAAAUCUCUGUGUGAGCGUGGAUGAAAUUUUUAGUUCAGUUGUGUGAUAGAGGUUCGAUGGAACCGAAACUCUAAGGUUGUUAGAAAAAGGUCAAGUUGUGGGUUACUGGGGAUCUAGUACUAGUGGGGAGUUGGGAUAUUCUCUCAUUUCUAUUUUUUAAUUAAUUCUUUUUCUCUCUCUUCUCAUUUUUUUCUUUGACAUCAUUUCUCUUUUCAUUCUCUUUUCUCUGUGCCUUCUUUUUCGUUUCUUUGUGUCUCUCCACUCUAAUCAACAAAUUGGUUGUUCUAAAAAUUAGGGGGUUCGAUAAUUCAGUUGUUUUUCAUUCAUCGGGUAAGUGCAAG